RNAcentral lists this ribosomal RNA (255 nucleotides) under uncultured bacterium. RNAcentral describes it as "partial 16S ribosomal RNA". It matches the Rfam family "Archaeal small subunit ribosomal RNA", at positions 474 to 727 of the family's 1478-position model. The record is from RNAcentral.
UACCAGCACCCCCGAGUGGUCGGGACGAUUAUUGGGCCUAAAGCAUCCGUAGCCGGUCCUGCAAGUCUUCCGUUAAAUCCAGCUGCUCAACAGAUGGGCUGCGGGGGAUACUACAGGGCUAGGAGGCGGGAGAGGCAAGCGGUACUUUAUGGGUAGGGGUAAAAUCCGUUGAUCCAUAGAAGACCACCAGUGGCGAAGGCGGCUUGCCAGAACGCGCUCGACGGUGAGGGAUGAAAGCUGGGGGGAGCAAACCGG